RNAcentral lists this unclassified non-coding RNA (214 nucleotides) under soil metagenome. Its description in RNAcentral is "partial contains 5.8S ribosomal RNA, internal transcribed spacer 2, and large subunit ribosomal RNA". The record is from RNAcentral.
AACAUCGCGCACCUGCGGGAACCUGCGGAGGGAUCAUUAGUGAAUUGGAGAGUGGGCUAAUCCCCCGCUUUUCUCUUUACACACUGUGAACGGAAUCGGCUGGGUUGAUCCCGGUCGAGGGCUUCGGCUCGAAUUCCUUCUUUGAAACUCCAAGUUGUAGGAUGUUCUUGGCUUUGCCAAUUACAAACAAAGAACAACUUUUAACAACGGAUCU